Molecule: ribosomal RNA, 468 nt
Filed under: uncultured bacterium
Lineage: Bacteria
Description: partial 16S ribosomal RNA
Rfam family: Bacterial small subunit ribosomal RNA
Source: RNAcentral
GACGAACGCUGGCGGUGUGCUUAACACAUGCAAGUCGAACGGUAAGGCCCUUUCGGGGGUACACGAGUGGCGAACGGGUGAGUAACACGUGAGUAACCUGCCCUCAUCUCUGGGAUAACAGUCGGAAACGGUUGCUAAUACUGGAUAUGAGCUUGCAAGGCAUCUUGUGGUUUGGAAAGAUUUUUUUUGGUUGGGGAUGGACUCGCGGCCUAUCAGCUUGUUGGUGAGGUAGUGGCUCACCAAGGCUUCGACGGGUAGCCGGCCUGAGAGGGCGACCGGCCACAUUGGGACUGAGAUACGGCCCAAACUCCUACGGGAGGCAGCAGUGGGGAAUAUUGCACAAUGGACGGAAGUCUGAUGCAGCAACGCCGCGUGCGGGAUGACGGCCUUCGGGUUGUAAACCGCUUUCAAUUGUGACGAAGCUUUUUUGUGACGGUAGCAGUAGAAGAAGCACCGGCUAACUACGUG